GCUUCCGUAGCUCAGUCGGUAGAGCGCCGCUCUCGUAAAGCGGUGGCCGCAGGUUCGAGCCCUGCCGGAAGCU
Molecule: transfer RNA, 73 nt
Filed under: Streptomyces iranensis
Lineage: Bacteria; Bacillati; Actinomycetota; Actinomycetes; Kitasatosporales; Streptomycetaceae
Description: tRNA-Thr
Rfam family: tRNA
About the family: Transfer RNA (tRNA) molecules are approximately 80 nucleotides in length. Their secondary structure includes four short double-helical elements and three loops (D, anti-codon, and T loops).
Source: RNAcentral